GGUAGCGUAAUCAUUUGUCUUAUAAAUAAAGACCCGUAUGAAUGGCUAAAUGAGGGCAAGCCUGUCUCUUAUAAUUAAUCAGUGAAACUGAUCUUCCAGUACAAACGCUGGAAUAAACACAUAAGACGAGAAGACCCCGUGGAGCUUAAAACAAACCACUAACACACUUCAACCCUAGUGCACUGUUUUGAGUUGGGGCGACUUCGGAAUAAAAUAAAACUUCCGAGCACAGAACCACCACUUCCAACCAAGGCCAACAAGCCUAAGUAUAACCAGACCCGGCUACAUUGCCGAUCAACGAACCAAGUUACCCCGGGGAUAACAGCGCUAUCUUCUUCAAGAGUCCCUAUCAACAAGAAGGUUUACUACCUCGAUGUUGGAUCAGGA
RNAcentral lists this ribosomal RNA (387 nucleotides) under Trachylepis gonwouoi (Gonwouo's skink). Its description in RNAcentral is "partial 16S ribosomal RNA". It matches the Rfam family "Bacterial large subunit ribosomal RNA", at positions 1955 to 2542 of the family's 2925-position model. The record is from RNAcentral. Lineage: Eukaryota; Metazoa; Chordata; Lepidosauria; Squamata; Scincidae.